Long non-coding RNA from Haliotis rubra (blacklip abalone), 793 nucleotides. RefSeq lists it as uncharacterized. The transcript has 2 exons. The record is from RefSeq and is a predicted model, not a curated record. NCBI's taxonomy places the organism in Eukaryota, Metazoa, Mollusca, Gastropoda, Lepetellida, Haliotidae.
UGUGUUUGCAAGUAAAGCUUCCAGAAAGAUUUCGAACAUCACAUGAUCAAAAAUCUUGAGCAUAAAUAGAACCACUCACCACUUACAAGCACAACUUUCACUCUGAAAGCUACCACACGGAACUCUGGAACCUGUGAACGUCUCAACAACAUGUCAUCGAAUGAAGUCGUUUAUCAGUUUGCUGACAAGCACUAUCUAAGUAUCAACUACUUCAAUGGGGUAGUGUAUGUGCAUCUGUCCAACUGGAAUUCCAGAGGUGUGAAAAAGACCAUCCCAAUGACGGCGGAGGUUUUUCAUCACUUUAUUGGUAGGAGUAAAGAAUACGUGACCAGACUGGAGGAGUAUGAGGCAACCCUACGAAAUGCCGAUGACGUGCCUCAGCCGGAGCUGCCGUCACCGCAACCACCUGCAACCUCCCAGCCUCAACCUCCAUCGUCUGCAAUGUCAGCGCAACAACUGACAUCAGGAGCUCAACCUGGAGCGACGAGGGAGCCUUCCUCUGUCAUGACUGGGAUGCAGCCAGGGGCUCAAGGAGUGAUGCAAACGAUACAAGCAGGACACAUGCAUGCUGUUGCUCAUGGCAGAGGUGGUGUUCGUCCAAUGUCACCAAACCCGAUGAAUCAGUUUCCUUCACCAUCACCACCACCACCGUAUCCAAACCACCAGUAGUCUAUGUAACUGCUGACGGUCCAUGUGAGUGUGAACGUUCGACAAUGAUUCAACUCAUAUUUUUGGUGCGAUGUGCAAAAUUCAACCGAUACGUUGUCACUAAAUAAAAGUUAUAAAAUUUGAA